This 458-nucleotide ribosomal RNA is filed under the name uncultured bacterium. RNAcentral's name for it is "bacterial SSU rRNA". It matches the Rfam family "Bacterial small subunit ribosomal RNA", at positions 30 to 507 of the family's 1533-position model. The record is from RNAcentral.
AUUGAACGCUGGCGGCAUGCCUUACACAUGCAAGUCGAACGGUAACGGGCCUUCGGGUGCCGACGAGUGGCGAACGGGUGAGUAAUGCAUCGGAACGUACCUUUCAGUGGGGGAUAACGUAGCGAAAGUCAGGCUAAUACCGCAUACGUCCUGAGGGAGAAAGCGGGGGAUCGCAAGACCUCGCGCGGAUGGAUGAGCCGAUGUCGGAUUAGCUAGUUGGUGGGGUAAAGGCCUACCAAGGCGACGAUCCGUAGCUGGUCUGAGAGGAUGAUCAGCCACACUGGGACUGAGACACGGCCCAGACUCCUACGGGAGGCAGCAGUGGGGAAUUUUGGACAAUGGGCGAAAGCCUGAUCCAGCCAUUCCGCGUGCAGGAUGAAGGCCCUCGGGUUGUAAACUGCUUUUGAGAGGGACGAGAUAGGACGGUACCUCUUGAAUAAGUCACGGCUAACUACGUG